GGUUGGGGUGGCGGGUUGGAACGAAAAACAUCACCACCAGGUUAUGUAUGUCAUCGUUGUAAGGUGCCUGCACUCCCAACAAAUGGCGACUUAAAGAUGAAAGAAUGGUUGAAGAUCAUAGACAUGGAAAACUGGGGAAACUUAAUGAAUGCCCCACUCAAACUACACGUAGGGAAAUCUUCAGCUGAGUAUAUCCCGAGACACAUGAGGGGGAAAUUAGAAACUUUGAGAGUUCAAUAUAUUAACACGAA
Capsicum annuum is the source of this 251-nucleotide long non-coding RNA. RefSeq lists it as uncharacterized. The record is from RefSeq and is a predicted model, not a curated record. The transcript is spliced from 3 exons. NCBI's taxonomy places the organism in Eukaryota, Viridiplantae, Streptophyta, Magnoliopsida, Solanales, Solanaceae.